GAAUUGUUACUGUGAUGCAUAUGGGUUUCAGGACUCCUUUUCUCUGAACAACAGUCUGACUAGAAAAGCCAAAUGCAGUGGUUGUCUAAUUGUCAUUGGUAAAAAUACCAGAGGAAUGUUUGAAGAAAGCAGAUAUUGAUUUAAUGAGAUUUACAGAUAUCAACAGACACUUUGUACUGACGAAGAACACAUACAGCUGUUUUAAAAGAAAGCAUUUUCUUGCCUGAUAAACUUUAGGCUCACAAAAUUACCAUCAUAUUUUAGCCACUUUAUUUUAAUGGAGCUAAAUCACAUUUAGAGCAUUGAUAAUCUUUAAAGCAAAAUGCUUUCUCCAUCUUUUGUCAGCAAGUGCCCACACAUCCAUUCAAUAUAUGUUGGAAAAAUCGUUUUUGUCAAGAUAACAAUUUGUGUUUUGUUUACAACAAUGACAAGACAGUGACAAGCUUGGUUGCAGAGGCUGUCAUCAUUUAUAAAUUAAAGUAUAAUUCUUUCUCUCUUAAUGUGUCAGAAAAUGACAUUUUAAAAUGACUUAUUUGUUUUGAAAAAGUGGAAAGGCCUAAGAACAUUUCAUACUUUAUAGAUGUUUAGUUCUUCUAGUUCCUUUGAUACUUGCCCUUUAAAUGGUUUUUGUUUUGUGUCAGUCUUUCAAUUUCUUUUAUUUUCACAACAUCUCAUAUUUCACAGCUGUUUCUCUUUGAAACAUUUGUUAUUUAAGCUCGAGGUUUAGAUGGAAUUUAAGAUCUUAAACAGCAGCAGUUAUAAAAGCCUUUUGGACUGAUUAUGUUUUAAUUUAUUGAAAAGGAAACAAAAUGCACUCUCACUUAAUGGAUCCCAGUGUGGACUGUUAGACAUUUCUGAUGAGCAGCAGAGGUUUAUUUUACCUCAGAGUCUUUCAAAGUUCGUGACAUUUACAACAGCUUCUUUGGUAUUUACGUUGAAGGUUAGAAUGGUCAGUAAGACAGCUUUUGGUUUUCCAGUGAACCUUUGUUUCUUUCUAAUGAGGAGUUACUAAAAUAAAUACACAGUUGGCAUUGCAGGUUAAAUUUGAAAAGCAUAUUAAUAAAAUCCUGACUGUUUUUCCGACCUUCUUAGUGCAGGAUCCUCUGCUUGGAGUUACAAAAAUGACCAAAACGUUCAUCUGAUGUUUUAUAACUAAAUCCUCGCAGAAAUAACCCAUCUAUAGAACUAAUGAAGCAUCAGAGUAUGCAUUAAGUGUCAUAUGGUGUGUGAGGGAGAAAAGUUUCCUUAGUGCCAUGUCUUCUAGCCCUAAGCAUUCUUGGGGAAAACUUAUAAUUAACUGAAUGGAGAUAAAGUUCAGCUUAUUGCUAAACUGGUAUGUCUGCUGAUGGCUCACUAAGUAGAAGGCAGCUACAGACAGCACUGGCAUGUUAAUCAAAUAUUAAUAAGGAAUAUCGCAAAUGACAGUUUAAAUACUACUGUUGGCCAUCAGACAUGGGUUCAUCAAUUAGGAAGUAAGUGAAUACCCAAUUUCCUUAAUAUGGAGGGGUCACAUUGUCGUUUUAGUCUUAACCGUGCCUGUAUAAGGCGACUGGACUCAGGCAUGCAGGUAGGGAUUCAGCAAUAAAAAUGAAACUUGGAUGGAUAAAGCCAGAGGAAUCUUUCAAUGCAGUAGUCCAGGCAUACAGAAACUGGUGUAGUCCUUACAAUAUUAGCUUCCACCUAUUUCAUUUUUUUCUUUAAUCCUGUCAUUAUAUAGAUCAAUAUUUGUUUUAUGUUACAGUUAAAUAUCUUAAACUGAAAAUUUCUUCAUGGAAAUACGAGCAAUUCCGGUUUGUUCAGAUACUGAAAACAUCUUCUCAACUUGUCAGGUUCAGCAGGUGCCUACUGUGUUCAUGUAAAUAACACAUGGAAACACGACCACCCUCCCACCUAAAAAAAAUAAACUAAACAAAAAAUCCGGCAUUUAGCUUUAGCUUUUUUCUAUGCUGUCAAAGUUUUUGUUUCAUAGAAGCUCUAUAAAUGUUGCACAUGCAGCAGCUGCAUUAAAAAUUUAUAGUUUUUGCCAAAGAAAAUCAACAAUAUAGUUUUGAUAAAUCCACCAAUGUUGGUAACUGCUUCUCAUAGAUGUUUAGGUUUGAAAAGACACCUGAAAGACGGUCUCAAAUGUACAUUUUCUCUUAAGGUUUGCUGAUCCCAUUAUUUCCUUAGAUAAGUAAAGUUAUCCUAAAUUAAUUUUUAUUAAAUAAAAGCUAAUAAAAAUAUUUUGAUUGCUUUGCUAACCUUCCUUAAGUGGACAUAUGCUUACAUUGAGAAACAUUUGUUAUAACCAGCAUAUUAAGUUCAAAAGCUCAUGCCAAUCAGUAUAACAAUGUGGCCCCUAGGUUAUGGUCUUGAUGCAUGAGUAUUAUCAACAUUUCGUUUUGUUAGACGUUCUGGUUUUACAUAAAACCCACAUGCUAAAAAGUCUAACCUUGAUGAGAGGUCAUUUUCGGUACUAAUCUGCAAUUUAGCUGUAAUGUUCUACAUAAGCUUUGGGUUUAUAAUGCAAAUUCACAUACAAAUAAUUUGAGUUUGUUAUUAAAUAAUUAUUGCUUUUUUUCAAAAAUGUAAUCCAUUUUUACCCCCUUUAAAAAUUCCACAUCUCUUUCUUAUCAGUAAUGCAUUGGUGUAAAUCAUUAAUGAUAACUCUGAUUGGCUUCAGAGCGAAAAAGCAAAAGAUUAAUGCAGCUGCUCAGCAUGGAGAACCAUUCAGACCAGUGACACCAUCAAAUCUAUAAAAAAAAAGGAUUGUGAAUGAAAAUGAGAUCAAUGACAUGCAGAAAAGCAUUUGGAAAGGAAAAUUUUAUUUUUUGACAGGAUCGCUGCAAACUGUCCAGCUCAGUAAUUUUUAUAUUCCACAUAAUCUUCUCAGUGGGAUAUGGAUGAGUACUUUUUGAUUCACUCUGUGUGUAGAGGUUUUAUUAUAUCACCACAGUUUUACCACUGGGAGAACUUUUAAGCUGUGAUUCUGACUAUUUUACAACAAGCCAUUAAGUCAUUUAUGAAGCACUGUCUUUGGGCUGUUAGGUGGAACCACUUAAAUGAGUGCAUUACAGUAAUUAGUGUUAAAUUAACUCUGUAAAACACUGAAUAAAUAAAACUGUACUGGACUGAAUUGCUAGGAAGGUGAUUUUAGAGAAAGAAGUGAGAAUAAAAUCUCCCGAGAUAUGAAAACAACAUUAAAUGUGAAUAACACCAUAAGGCAUUCCUGAUAUUACCUUUAGAAAUGUGUUGCACAGACUCCUACAACUAUACCUAUGAAUCAUGCAACAUAAAAAUUAUUAUUGGAACUUCUGGUUUACAGCUUAAGCAAAUGUAGUUGUAAUGUCUGAAUUCAUUUAUUUGUAAUAUAAUGUAACAGCACAUUCUUCUGAGAUCAACAACUUCACUUUUGUAGUAGUUUAAGUGAACCAUCAACCGUUAUGACAGUAAAGGCACAGGAAAAAUACAACAGCUGAAAAAAUAAAACAACCAGAAAUUGCUGUAAUCAACCCCUCACUAAAAGAACAACGAGGAAAUGAACGAUUGUUUUGUCUGAUCAUUUUCACCUGUGUUAAGCACCCUGUUUUAUCUUCUGAGCCUUAUAGAAUUACUAUGUAAAUUAACCACAGGAAAAAUGUUUAAAAUAAGUACUUUAUCCCAAGAGCUAUUGUGAUUGAUAUGAAUAUUAAGCAUCUUCAUUUAAUUGUUUUCUCACUAUUUAACUGUAAAACAAGCUUUAAAUGCAGGAUUGAAAAAUUCUUAAUUUUGGACAAUGUACAUGGAAAGUUGGUGGUGCUGUAGCUGGUGCUGGGCUUUACUGGAAGUUGACCACCAAAUGGCCCUGUUAGACCACAGUCCUUAUUUGUUGAAAGCUCACACAUUUAUUUGCAUGUGAUCUCAUGUUUUUUGAUAAUCAAGGAAAUGCUGUAGCUUGUUUUAGUUUACAUUUUCAAAUCAGCUUAUUUAUAUUGCCUUAGUUACAACAAAUGUCACAACAGUCACAAAAAAAUGUUUUCUUAAGAGAUUUUUAAAAAAAAGUCAAUCCAAUCAGUUAGACACAUUUAAAAUCAAUGACAUACAUUUCAAUUCGAUUCUAGUUAUAAAACAAUGCAGUCAGUUUUGAUUUAUUUUUCCGAUUGAUAAAACGUUUUCUAUCUAAGGAAACCCAGGCAACUGCAUUGACUUACUGACCUUUCUGUAAGUCAAUGCAAUCGGCUGAAUGAACAUGUAGUGGCAGUGAAUAGUCGACUGCAUUGUAUCGUUAACUUUACCGCAGUCUCUUAUACUGAGCAUGUAUGUACAACAGUGCAGAUGAAUGCCCUGUUUACAUGACAAUGAUUUCUGAUGAAAACGGAAAAGUUUAAUUGUGUUUCUCCUGUUUGUUUACACAUUUUCUCUGAAAAUGGCACAAUUUAAAAUGGGUCCCAGAGUGUAAUGGUUUGAAAAUGUCCCGUUCCACUGUUGCCGUGUAGACGGGGAAAAAAAAAUCUUUCUUCAGGUGGAAGCCCUGGCUCAUGCGCAGUAUGACUGCAAUUAGUAUAAAUUAAUGCGUAUGCGCACAAUAUAAUGGCUGCCGACCUUUUUCCAACCCCCAGAAGAUGAAGAUAUCAACAAUAACAAUGAUGGAUUGCAUGUAAAAGUCAGGUUACUGCAUUGCCUACACGAAUCCCUGUGGCAGAAGAACAAGGACCUCUCAAAGACAUUUUUUGACCAAACAAACAGCCCCAUCACUACCUGCCUGUCCACUCUCAGACUUUGUGCAAACUACCCACAGACCUCUUAAAACCACUUGGCUGCCACACCUUAAAAUACAUGGAUCAAUUGCUACCCGGAUCAUUAGCCUGCCGUUCAGCCUUCGCCUUUCCCUGAACCUGACCCAGAUGAAUAUAUUGCCUGAAGUCAUCCAUUAUUAUUGUUGUAAAUAAAUAUUUAAACUGCU
Molecule: long non-coding RNA, 4921 nt
Organism: Girardinichthys multiradiatus
Lineage: Eukaryota; Metazoa; Chordata; Actinopteri; Cyprinodontiformes; Goodeidae
Exons: 3
Source: RefSeq, a predicted model, not a curated record